Molecule: ribosomal RNA, 440 nt
Filed under: uncultured bacterium
Lineage: Bacteria
Description: partial 16S ribosomal RNA
Rfam family: Bacterial small subunit ribosomal RNA
Source: RNAcentral
CCUACGGGAUGCAGCAGUAGGGAAUAUUGCUCAAUGGGGGAAACCCUGAAGCAGCAACGCCGCGUGGAGGAUGAAGGUUUUCGGAUUGUAAACUCCUUUUGUUAGAGAAGAUAAUGACGGUAUCUAACGAAUAAGCACCGGCUACCUCCGGGCCAGCAGCCGCGGUAUUACGGAGGGUGCAAGCGUUAGUCGGAAUCACUGGGCGUAAAGAGCGGGUAGGCGGGAUAGCAAGUCAGAUGUGAAAUACUAUGGCUUAACCAUAGAACUGCAUUUGAAACUGUUAUUCUAGAGUAUGGGAGAGGUAGGUGGAAUUCUUGGUGUAGGGGUAAAAUGCGUAGAGAUCAAGAGGAAUACUCAUUGCGAAGGCGACCUGCUAGAACAUAACUGACGCUGAUGCGCGAAAGCGUGGGGAGCAAACAGGAUUAGAUACCCUGGUAGUC